AUUUUUAUUUAUUAUUUAUUUAAUUUUUAAUAAAAUUAAUUUUAUGUUUAUGUAUAUGUUAUGGAUUUAAUUUUUUUAAUUAUAUUUUAUUUAUACUGUAUAGGAUUUUUUAUUAAUAUUUUUAAGUAAAUAUGUUGUUGUACCUUGUGUAUCAGGAUUUAUUAAAUUAUAUUAUUUAUUUUUUAUUUCCCGAUUUUAAAGGAGUUAAUUAAUUAUAUUGAUUAUUAUUUUAUAAAUAUUAAUAAUAUUUAUUUGGUAGUGAAAUGUUAUUCGUCUUUAAUGGUAUCUGGUUUUUCAGGAAAUGAAUUUAAUUCAUAAUUUAUUAUUAUAUUUCUAAUUUUUUUUAGUUUAAUAUUAUAUUAAUUUUAGUAUUAAGGGGGAUAAGCUCUUUAAUAAAUUUUUAUAAUUUUAUUUAUUUAUUUAAUUGUGUUGGUUUUAUAAUAACUAUCUAUUUAAAUUUGUUUUAAUUUUAUUUAUUUAUUUAUUUAAUUUUAUUUUAUUUAAAUUUUUAUUGAAUAUUAUUUAUUUAAUUUUGUUUUAAUUGUAAUUAUGAUGAAAUUAGUAAUUGGUAAUUUAUUUUAUAUAUUUAUAUUUUAUAAUUUAAAAAGGAACUAGGCAAAGUAUAUUCUCGCAUGUUUAUCAAAAACAUCUCUUCUUGUUUAAAAUAUGAAGUAUAACCUGCCCGCUGAUUUAAUUUUGAAGGGCCGCGGUAUUCUUGACCGUGCAAAGGUAGCAUAAUCAUUAGUUUUUUAAUUAAGUACUGGAAUGAAUGGUUGGACGAGGAAUAAACUGUUUCUUAUUAUUUAUUUGAAUUUAAAUUUUGAGUUAAAAAGCUUAAAUUUGUUUAUGGGACGAGAAGACCCUAUAGAGUUUUAUAUUUUAUGUAUAUUAAUUUGUUUGAUUUAUUUAUUUUAUAUAAUUUAUUUUGUUGGGGUGAUUGAAAAAUUUAAAUAACUUUUUUUUAUUAUAUAUAUUUAUUUAUAAUUAUUUGAUCCAUUUAUAUUGAUUAUAAGAUUAAAUUACCUUAGGGAUAACAGCGUUAUCUUUCUUGAAAGUUCAUAUUGAUAGAGAGGUUUGCGACCUCGAUGUUGGAUUAAGAAUAAGAUUGGGUGUAGAAGUUCAUUUAAUUAGGUCUGUUCGACCUUUAAUAUCUUACAUGAUCUGAGUUCAAACCGGUGUAAGCCAGGUUGGUUUCUAUCUAUAAUAUAUUUUUAUAUCUUAGUACGAGAGGACCAGAUAU
This 1240-nucleotide ribosomal RNA is filed under the name Deropeltis paulinoi. RNAcentral describes it as "16S ribosomal RNA". The stretch from base 1030 to 1189 matches the Rfam family "Archaeal large subunit ribosomal RNA", at positions 2542 to 2701 of the family's 2987-position model. Lineage: Eukaryota; Metazoa; Arthropoda; Insecta; Blattodea; Blattidae. The record is from RNAcentral.